RNAcentral lists this ribosomal RNA (2902 nucleotides) under Escherichia coli. RNAcentral describes it as "bacterial LSU rRNA". It matches the Rfam family "Bacterial large subunit ribosomal RNA". Lineage: Bacteria; Pseudomonadati; Pseudomonadota; Gammaproteobacteria; Enterobacterales; Enterobacteriaceae. The record is from RNAcentral.
UUAAGCGACUAAGCGUACACGGUGGAUGCCCUGGCAGUCAGAGGCGAUGAAGGACGUGCUAAUCUGCGAUAAGCGUCGGUGAGGUGAUAUGAACCGUUAUAACCGGCGAUUUCCGAAUGGGGAAACCCAGUGUGUUUCGACACACUAUCAUUAACUGAAUCCAUAGGUUAAUGAGGCGAACCGGGGGAACUGAAACAUCUAAGUACCCCGAGGAAAAGAAAUCAACCGAGAUUCCCCCAGUAGCGGCGAGCGAACGGGGAGGAGCCCAGAGCCUGAAUCAGUGUGUGUGUUAGUGGAAGCGUCUGGAAAGGCGCGCGAUACAGGGUGACAGCCCCGUACACAAAAAUGCACAUAUUGUGAGCUCGAUGAGUAGGGCGGGACACGUGGUAUCCUGUCUGAAUAUGGGGGGACCAUCCUCCAAGUCUAAAUACUCCUGACUGACCGAUAGUGAACCAGUACCGUGAGGGAAAGGCGAAAAGAACCCCGGCGAGGGGAGUGAAAAAGAACCUGAAACCGUGUACGUACAAGCAGUGGGAGCCUCUUUAUGGGGUGACUGCGUACCUUUUGUAUAAUGGGUCAGCGACUUAUAUUCUGUAGCAAGGUUAACCGAAUAGGGGAGCCGAAGGGAAACCGAGUCUUAACUGGGCGUUAAGUUGCAGGGUAUAGACCCGAAACCCGGUGAUCUAGCCAUGGGCAGGUUGAAGGUUGGGUAACACUAACUGGAGGACCGAACCGACUAAUGUUGAAAAAUUAGCGGAUGACUUGUGGCUGGGGGUGAAAGGCCAAUCAAACCGGGAGAUAGCUGGUUCUCCCCGAAAGCUAUUUAGGUAGCGCCUCGUGAAUUCAUCUCCGGGGGUAGAGCACUGUUUCGGCAAGGGGGUCAUCCCGACUUACCAACCCGAUGCAAACUGCGAAUACCGGAGAAUGUUAUCACGGGAGACACACGGCGGGUGCUAACGUCCGUCGUGAAGAGGGAAACAACCCAGACCGCCAGCUAAGGUCCCAAAGUCAUGGUUAAGUGGGAAACGAUGUGGGAAGGCCCAGACAGCCAGGAUGUUGGCUUAGAAGCAGCCAUCAUUUAAAGAAAGCGUAAUAGCUCACUGGUCGAGUCGGCCUGCGCGGAAGAUGUAACGGGGCUAAACCAUGCACCGAAGCUGCGGCAGCGACACUAUGUGUUGUUGGGUAGGGGAGCGUUCUGUAAGCCUGUGAAGGUGGCCUGUGAGGGUUGCUGGAGGUAUCAGAAGUGCGAAUGCUGACAUAAGUAACGAUAAAGCGGGUGAAAAGCCCGCUCGCCGGAAGACCAAGGGUUCCUGUCCAACGUUAAUCGGGGCAGGGUGAGUCGACCCCUAAGGCGAGGCCGAAAGGCGUAGUCGAUGGGAAACAGGUUAAUAUUCCUGUACUUGGUGUUACUGCGAAGGGGGGACGGAGAAGGCUAUGUUGGCCGGGCGACGGUUGUCCCGGUUUAAGCGUGUAGGCUGGUUUUCCAGGCAAAUCCGGAAAACCAAGGCUGAGGCGUGAUGACGAGGCACUACGGUGCUGAAGCGACAAAUGCCCUGCUUCCAGGAAAAGCCUCUAAGCAUCAGGUAACAUCAAAUCGUACCCCAAACCGACACAGGUGGUCAGGUAGAGAAUACCAAGGCGCUUGAGAGAACUCGGGUGAAGGAACUAGGCAAAAUGGUGCCGUAACUUCGGGAGAAGGCACGCUGAUAUGUAGGUGAAGCGACUUGCUCGUGGAGCUGAAAUCAGUCGAAGAUACCAGCUGGCUGCAACUGUUUAUUAAAAACACAGCACUGUGCAAACACGAAAGUGGACGUAUACGGUGUGACGCCUGCCCGGUGCCGGAAGGUUAAUUGAUGGGGUUAGCGGUAACGCGAAGCUCUUGAUCGAAGCCCCGGUAAACGGCGGCCGUAACUAUAACGGUCCUAAGGUAGCGAAAUUCCUUGUCGGGUAAGUUCCGACCUGCACGAAUGGCGUAAUGAUGGCCAGGCUGUCUCCACCCGAGACUCAGUGAAAUUGAACUCGCUGUGAAGAUGCAGUGUACCCGCGGCAAGACGGAAAGACCCCGUGAACCUUUACUAUAGCUUGACACUGAACAUUGAGCCUUGAUGUGUAGGAUAGGUGGGAGGCUUUGAAGUGUGGACGCCAGUCUGCAUGGAGCCGACCUUGAAAUACCACCCUUUAAUGUUUGAUGUUCUAACGUUGGCCCGUAAUCCGGGUUGCGGACAGUGUCUGGUGGGUAGUUUGACUGGGGCGGUCUCCUCCUAAAGAGUAACGGAGGAGCACGAAGGUUGGCUAAUCCUGGUCGGACAUCAGGAGGUUAGUGCAAUGGCAUAAGCCAGCUUGAUUGCGAGCGUGACGGCGCGAGCAGGUGCGAAAGCAGGUCAUAGUGAUCCGGUGGUUCUGAAUGGAAGGGCCAUCGCUCAACGGAUAAAAGGUACUCCGGGGAUAACAGGCUGAUACCGCCCAAGAGUUCAUAUCGACGGCGGUGUUUGGCACCUCGAUGUCGGCUCAUCACAUCCUGGGGCUGAAGUAGGUCCCAAGGGUAUGGCUGUUCGCCAUUUAAAGUGGUACGCGAGCUGGGUUUAGAACGUCGUGAGACAGUUCGGUCCCUAUCUGCCGUGGGCGCUGGAGAACUGAGGGGGGCUGCUCCUAGUACGAGAGGACCGGAGUGGACGCAUCACUGGUGUUCGGGUUGUCAUGCCAAUGGCACUGCCCGGUAGCUAAAUGCGGAAGAGAUAAGUGCUGAAAGCAUCUAAGCACGAAACUUGCCCCGAGAUGAGUUCUCCCUGAGUCUUUGAGAGUCCUGAAGGAACGUUGAAGACGACGACGUUGAUAGGCCGGGUGUGUAAGCGCAGCGAUGCGUUGAGCUAACCGGUACUAAUGAACCGUGAGGCUUAACCUU